RNAcentral lists this ribosomal RNA (591 nucleotides) under Cryptosporidium parvum. RNAcentral's name for it is "SSU rRNA". It matches the Rfam family "Eukaryotic small subunit ribosomal RNA", at positions 456 to 1080 of the family's 1831-position model. The record is from RNAcentral. Lineage: Eukaryota; Apicomplexa; Conoidasida; Eucoccidiorida; Cryptosporidiidae.
ACAGGGAGGUAGUGACAAGAAAUAACAAUACAGGACUUUUUGGUUUUGUAAUUGGAAUGAGUUAAGUAUAAACCCCUUUACAAAUAUCAAUUGGAGGGCAAGUCUGGUGCCAGCAGCCGCGGUAAUUCCAGCUCCAAUAGCGUAUAUUAAAGUUGUUGCAGUUAAAAAGCUCGUAGUUGGAUUUCUGUUAAUAAUCUAUAUAAAAUAUUUUGAUGAAUAUUUAUAUAAUAUUAACAUAAUUCAUAUUACUAUAUAUUUUAGUAUAUGAAAUUUUACUUUGAGAAAAUUAGAGUGCUUAAAGCAGGCAUAUGCCUUGAAUACUCCAGCAUGGAAUAAUAUUAAAGAUUUUUAUCUUUCUUAUUGGUUCUAAGAUAAGAAUAAUGAUUAAUAGGGACAGUUGGGGGCAUUUGUAUUUAACAGUCAGAGGUGAAAUUCUUAGAUUUGUUAAAGACAAACUAAUGCGAAAGCAUUUGCCAAGGAUGUUUUCAUUAAUCAAGAACGAAAGUUAGGGGAUCGAAGACGAUCAGAUACCGUCGUAGUCUUAACCAUAAACUAUGCCAACUAGAGAUUGGAGGUUGUUCCUUACUCCUU